RNAcentral lists this ribosomal RNA (460 nucleotides) under uncultured bacterium. RNAcentral's name for it is "partial 16S ribosomal RNA". It matches the Rfam family "Bacterial small subunit ribosomal RNA", at positions 338 to 795 of the family's 1533-position model. The record is from RNAcentral.
CCUACGGGAGGCAGCAGUGAGGAAUAUUGGUCAAUGGACGCAAGUCUGAACCAGCCACGCCGCGUGCAGGAAGACGGCUCUAUGAGUUGUAAACUGCUUUUGUACGAGGGUAAACGCAGAUACGCGUAUCUGUCUGAAAGUAUCGUACGAAUAAGGAUCGGCUAACUCCGUGCCAGCAGCCGCGGUAAUACGGAGGAUUCAAGCGUUAUCCGGAUUUAUUGGGUUUAAAGGGUGCGUAGGCGGUCGGAUAAGUUAGAGGUGAAAUCCCGAGGCUCAACUUUGGAAUUGCAUGUGAUACUGUUAGGCUAGAGAGUAGUAGAGGUAGGCGGAAUGUAUGGUGUAGCGGUGAAAUGCUUAGAGAUCAUGCAGAACACCGAUGGCGAAGGCAGCUUACCGGACUACAACUGACGUUGAGGCACGAAAGCGUGGGGAGCAAACAGGAUUAGAUACCCCAGUAGUC